GCCCUGGGGUAGUCGCUACCCCUGCGGAUCGGACGACGCCGGGCAGCUCCCCAGGAGCCUCUGAAGAUUAGGAUUCCGGCCUCCCAGCACCCUGCCCUGUCUUCUCUUCUGGGAACGGCCCGGAAUGGGGCUUCACCUCCAAGCUGCAGGGGCCAGGGGCCGGGAGGCUGCAUAGCUACGGGUUAGCAGAAGAACUGCAGUAACCGUCGGAGAGAAUAGAAGUUUGGCCGGGGAGGCACGGAUUGACUGCCGCCUCCACUCCUGCUUUUCGACCCGGACCCCCAGCUUCCCUGGUGCAGUGGUUCUUAACAGUUCAACAGUUCUAUUAAAAAAUUGUGAAAUGUUUA
This is a long non-coding RNA of Antechinus flavipes (yellow-footed antechinus), 347 nucleotides long. RefSeq lists it as uncharacterized. Lineage: Eukaryota; Metazoa; Chordata; Mammalia; Dasyuromorphia; Dasyuridae. The record is from RefSeq and is a predicted model, not a curated record. The transcript has 2 exons.